RNAcentral lists this ribosomal RNA (102 nucleotides) under Pedobacter sp. Lineage: Bacteria; Pseudomonadati; Bacteroidota; Sphingobacteriia; Sphingobacteriales; Sphingobacteriaceae. The record is from RNAcentral.
AUAUCGGUGGUGUCCACCUCUUCCCAUUCCGAACAGAGAAGUUAAGCCCACCAGAGCCGAUGGUACUGCGGUAACACGUGGGAGAGUAGGUCGGUGCCAGAU